UACAGGGGGUGCAAACGUUGCUCGGAAUUAUUGGGCGUAAAGCGCGCGUAGGCGGCUACUUAAGUCGGAUGUGAAAGCCCUUGGCUCAACUGAGGAAGUGCAUCCGAAACUGGCAAGCUAGAGUACUAAAGAGGGGGGUGGAAUUCCGCGUGUAGCAGUGAAAUGCGUAGAGAUGCGGAGGAACACCGAUGGCGAAGGCAGCCCCCUGGGCUGACACUGACGCUCAGGCACGAAAGCGUGGGGAGCAAACAGG
This 253-nucleotide ribosomal RNA is filed under the name uncultured bacterium. RNAcentral describes it as "partial 16S ribosomal RNA". It matches the Rfam family "Bacterial small subunit ribosomal RNA", at positions 524 to 776 of the family's 1533-position model. The record is from RNAcentral.